This 4313-nucleotide unclassified non-coding RNA is filed under the name Leishmania donovani. RNAcentral's name for it is "gene:LdHU3.22.1380(CDS-product:Major_Facilitator_ Superfamily/Sugar_(and_other)_transporter/Organic_Anion_Tra nsporter_Polypeptide_(OATP)_family_putative)". Lineage: Eukaryota; Euglenozoa; Kinetoplastea; Trypanosomatida; Trypanosomatidae. The record is from RNAcentral.
UCAGGCCACCGCCCCCACCCUCCCCUCACCGCCUGCACUGCCGCCCCGAAAUUAGCUCGGCUUUUCGAUCUCUCUCCUUCCCUCGCCGUCCCAACCACUCUCUCCCUGGCAUCCGCGCGCAUAUACAAGGGCGAUAGAAAGAGGGGCGGCGCGAAGACCAUGCUCGGCGCCAAGCCCGCGGCUCGCUCCGAACGACUCUUCAAGGAGGGGCUGGGCAUCGCACCAGGCGUUGUCGGCGUCAACCCCACGACAGCCACCUCCUCCAAUGCCAACGGAGAUUGCAGAAGUAUCAGCGCUAGCGUCAACAACAACGGGUCUGCAAGGCGAAGUGAUCGGGACGGCGUCCGCGGCUUCGGCGUGGUCGACAACCGCGACAGCGCGACUGUGCCAACCUUGCAUGCAAGGAACGUGAGUGCGCCCGACGACGCCCCCACGAGCUCCGCGAGCCGCCUGCUUGACUCGAGUGUGCCCGUAGACCAGGAGACGGUCUACUGCAACCUGUGGCUCUUUAUUUGGCUCAAGACCAUCGGCUCCUUCGACUCGGGUGCCUUCAGCGCUGCCCUCGGUGCCCCCAACGGCAUCAGCGAGACCUGGGAUCUAAGCACGAAGCUGCAAGGCGCACUGACCUCGAGCGUGUUCCUCGGGAACGUGUUGGGGUGUCCGCUGGCCGGGCAUCUCUUCUCCCGCUACGACGAGAAGCGUGUCUUGUGCACCGCCCUCAUCGUACACACAUUGUUCACGUUUCUCUACGCCGCCUUCCCCAUCUACGGCGUGGCCCUGCUGAACCGCUUCUUUAUCGGCAUCAGCCUCUCCUUCAUCGUUGUGUACACUCCUGUCUGGGUGGACGAGUUUGCGCCAAAGAACCGACAGAGCGUAUGGAUGGCGUCACACAACGCCGGCGUGCCGCUAGGCAUCAUGCUUGGCUACCUCCUCGCCGCCGGCCCGCCAGCCUUCACAAGCUCCAUCAGCUGGUCCUGGUCGUUCUACAUCAAAUGCGUGCUCAUGGUACCGACAGUCGUGUACGUGGCACGUUCAGAUGCGCGCUCCAUCAACACGCGCAAGGCAAGCGGUGGUGGCGGCGACAGCAAGGGCUACGAUGACGGUGGCGACGGCAACCACGCUGGCGACUCCGGUGCCGUCAGCGCUUGCGUGGUAAGCGGAGAAGGCCCGAAUGGCGUAGCAAGUGCGAUGGUCGCCUCACUGCCGGUGGCAACGGCGAACGCGAGAGCGUCUGCCCCGGCCGGCACCUUGCGGUCGACUAGUUGGGAGGUGAGUAUGACGCAGCCGCUGCGCAAGCUGGCAGAUCGUGCCUUAGCGACGAUUCGGAACCUCUACUCUUCCAUGGCGCCGCUUUUUUCGAACGUGGUGUACAUGUGCAGCGUCGUGUCGCUCACUAGCCUGUACUUUGUCGCGACGGGGCUGCAGAACUUCGUGACGCAGUAUCUUCGCGAACCGCCGUUCAACGCCUCGAUGGCCAUUAUCAUGGUCGGCUUCGGCACGGCCGUCAUUUUGGCACCGGUGUGCGGCGUCAUCGCCGGCGGCAUCCUGCUCGACCGCAUCGGCGGCUACAAGCGCAACCUCCGCCGCGUCGCCUUCUUUGUCUUGGCCUGGGGUGUGUGUGCGGUGCUCUUCUCAGUCAUCUGCAUCUUUGUGCGCACGACACGCGACUUCCUGCUUGUCAUGUCCGUCGUGCUGUUCUGUGGCGGGGCCAUUGUCCCCCCUGGUGCCGGACUUACGAUGGCGUCCCUGCCAGACCACCUUCGCUCCAUCGGCGCGGCCUUCUCGCAAACCAUCUACAACCUACUCGGUAACUUUAGUGGGCCGCUCGUGUGCGGCUGGGUGGCAGACGCGACGGGGAGUCUGCGCUACGGUAUCAUCACGCUGCUUCUGUCCAGCGCGCUGGGUGUCGUGCCCAUCGUAGGCAUCGUGCACUUCGCCUUCUACGGUGGUGGAAGCGGGAUCGGUUCGGCGAUGAAUGCGCUGAUCGGCAGUAGCGGCGACGACGGCGCAGGCGUCGCGACAGAGGUAGUGGCUCAGGAUGAAGAGGAUGAUGAGGUGCUCGAGAUGCAGGGGAGUGCACUAGUAGCGGAAAAGGACGACGUGGUGGCGGCCGCCGUGCUCGGCGGACAUGUCUACGGCCGCGACGGUGCGAAGGUGCUCGCAGAUGCGAUCACAAUGCAGAAUGGCAAGCUCACCGCAUCACCAGCGACAGCGUCUAUGCGGAGCGGCGCCGCUGGGUCGACUCUGGAGGUGCAGAUCAAAUCACCACUGCAGGUGUGCCAGCCGCUCGCAGCGGUGCGCCGUAUGUCGAGCGACAGUGGAAGAGGUACGGCCUGCAACGAAAAAGCGGCCGUCCCGCUGCUGUUACGAAGCAGCGCGCACUCACUGACAUCGCCGGCGCUGCCGGCCUGCUCUUUCCGCACCCCAUCCACACCCGCAGCCGUCUCACCAGCAGCAGCGCCACUGCCGCUGAUGACGCCGCCUACGCAGCCUUCUCGCAUUGCUGCCGCGGGGCCCACCUGCGACAUGUCGGGGCUGCUACGCGGGCCAGGAACCGCGCGGCCUGUGGCGCCGGCCAGGACCUCCUCGUCGACGAGGGAGGCCGCUGAGCUCCCUGCCGCCUUAUCUCUCAACUAUGCGGGGCGUCGCGGCGAACAGCAGAAGGCGGACUUGGUGCUGAUGAACCUCGAGGUGGAAGCGACGAGAGUCAUGUCACUUCCCAACCAGCACGCUUUCGGGGUCGAUCUGGUGCGGGCGUGGCUGGACAACGGAGUGCAAGAGCCGAACUUGCCCCCGCGCCCCUCCUCCAGAAGUCUGUCGCGCAGCAUCGGUGAGGCUGGCGUGGCGCACCCGCCGCACAUGGAGCUCCUGCCCACCCACAUCGCCAACAGCAGUUUGGCAAGUCUCGGAAGUGCCGGUGCCGCUGCGCCGACUCCACCCCAUCACUGCAGCACGCUCUCGCAACGGCACUGCAACAAUGUCGAACACGUAACGGAGGAGACAGGCGUGAGACAAACCCACACGCGCACUCAUGCAGGUGAGCACACGCACAUGUAGGCUCUGCUGCGCCUCUCCCUCUCGCUCGCUCUCUGCUUCUUGCACCCUCAUUGCUGCGACACAGAGGUGGGGGCGGAUAUAGUGCUUUCCUCACAAGACGGACAUAAGUAAUGACCUCGUCGCUCUGUCCCUUGUUUUCUGUGCAUGUCUGUCCCUGAUCACCCCUUCGCUGCCGGUUAUAAGGCUGUCUUGCUUUGGAUGCACGUGUGUGUGUGUGUGUGUGUUCGUGUCAAGAGCGUGAAGCCACUUGGUGUGCUGCUUCUGCCUCGAUGCGCGCUGGGUUUUGUCUGUGCAUCUAUGUAUAACGGAGUUUGUGGCCGACGGCCCCCGUUGAGCAACCUUCCCCCUCCUCUCUCUCUCUUGGACACGCCCGGCGCCGCUGUUGUGCUCCUUCCGCUCUCCUCUUGUACCGUCUCUUCACUCGCCUCCAACCGUUUAUCAUCUUGUCUGGGUAGGGUCUGUCUUGUCGCUCCCUCCCUCUACCUCUUGCUGGCCAGGUGGCACCUCGUGAUCACCCCCGCGUAUAGGCGCACACUCACUUACUCGGCUAGGCAUCGCCUCCGCCUCCCUUCCCUUUCCGCUCUUCUCGUGUUGUGGUUUUUCGAGUAUCACGGCUAUGUGUUGUGCGUCGUGCGUGAUGCAUGUGUUUGUGUUCUGCGUGUGCGUGUGUGUGUGUGCGUGAGGGUAGGCGUGCUCGGCGCCAUUAUGGCUCACCUAUUCCUCUCUCCAUCUCCCUCCCCUCCGAAGUGGUAGUGUUUUCCGCGCAGCGAGGGGGGGGGGCUUCAUCCUCCUCUCAUUAUUCUUGUUGUUCCGAUGGCGAUGGCGCCGAUGAGAAAAAGAGCUCCGACACACACACGCACACGCACAUGAUCUCGACUUCCCCCUUCGGUGCGGAGGAGCGGCAGCAGAAAAAACGCCGCCGCUCAGCAAAGCCCAUCACAAUGGAACCGAAGGACGAGAGAGAGGCAAACGCCUGUGCCGUCGCGCAACAAGGGUUUGGAUCGAGGGAGGUACGCAGCGCCUCCAUUUUUCAUAUUCUCGCGCCCCUCGCUCUCCCUCUCGUGCGUGUGCGUGUGUGUAUGUAUGUAGGUCGUCAACACAGUUGGUGGAUUGGGCAAGUGUUCUUUUCGAGUGCUUCUCCACCUGUAAGUCGACGCACGUCACGGUACGCUGUGGCGAUGGUGGGACUCGUGCACAAACAUCACCUUCAGGCAAAGGGCGGGGAGCAUUAAGAAGCGUCAUUACCACCGCCGCCA